GUCCUCCGGGGCGCAGCAGUGGGGAAUAUUGCACAAUGGGGAAACCCUGAUGCAGCAACGCCGCGUGAGUGAAGAAGUAUUUCGGUAUGUAAAGCUCUAUCAGCAGGGAAGAAGAAAGACGGUACCUGACUAAGAAGCCCCGGCUAACUACGUGCCAGCAGCCGCGGUAAUACGUAGGGGGCAAGCGUUAUCCGGAUUUACUGGGUGUAAAGGGAGCGUAGACGGCCAUGCAAGUCUGAUGUGAAAACCCGGGGCUCAACCCCGGGACUGCAUUGGAAGCUGUGCGGCUGGAGUGUCGGAGAGGG
RNAcentral lists this ribosomal RNA (305 nucleotides) under uncultured bacterium. RNAcentral's name for it is "bacterial SSU rRNA". It matches the Rfam family "Bacterial small subunit ribosomal RNA", at positions 335 to 658 of the family's 1533-position model. The record is from RNAcentral.